This 499-nucleotide ribosomal RNA is filed under the name uncultured bacterium. Its description in RNAcentral is "bacterial SSU rRNA". It matches the Rfam family "Bacterial small subunit ribosomal RNA", at positions 377 to 864 of the family's 1533-position model. The record is from RNAcentral.
GCAAGCCUGAUCCAGCCAUGCCGCGUGUGUGAAGAAGGCCUUCGGGUUGUAAAGCACUUUCAGACGGAACGAAAUCGCGCGGAUGAACAAUCCGCGUGGAUGACGGUACCGUAAGAAGAAGCACCGGCUAACUACGUGCCAGCAGCCGCGGUAAUACGUAGGGUGCAAGCGUUAAUCGGAAUUACUGGGCGUAAAGGGUGCGCAGGCGGCUCCGCAAGUCAGGCGUGAAAUCCCCGGGCUCAACUUGGGAAUGGCGCUUGAAACUACGGGGCUUGAGUGUGGCAGAGGGAGGUGGAAUUCCACGUGUAGCGGUGAAAUGCGUAGAGAUGUGGAGGAACACCGAUGGCGCAGGCAGCCUCCUGGGCCAACACUGACGCUCAUGCACGAAAGCGUGGGGAGCAAACAGGAUUAGAUACCCUGGUAGUCCACGCCCUAAACGAUGACGACUAGUUGUUGGGGGGAGUUAAAAUCCCUUUAGUAACGCAGCUAACGCGUGAAG